CGUUUCCUACGGGGCGCAGCAGUGAGGGAUAUUGGGCAAUGGGGGAAACCCUGACCCAGCGACGCCGCGUGAGGGAAGACGGUCUUCGGAUUGUAAACCUCUGUCUUUGGGGACGAAAAAGGACGGUACCCAAGGAGGAAGCUCCGGCUAACUACGUGCCAGCAGCCGCGGUAAUACGUAGGGAGCGAGCGUUGUCCGGAAUUACUGGGUGUAAAGGGAGCGUAGACGGUGAUGCAAGUCUGGAGUGAAAGGCGGGGGCCCAACCCCCGGACUGCUCUG
RNAcentral lists this ribosomal RNA (279 nucleotides) under uncultured bacterium. Its description in RNAcentral is "partial 16S ribosomal RNA". It matches the Rfam family "Bacterial small subunit ribosomal RNA", at positions 333 to 628 of the family's 1533-position model. The record is from RNAcentral.